GGGCGGGUGGCGGAAUUGGCAGACGCGCACGGUUCAGGUCCGUGUGUCCUUAUGGACAUGGGGGUUCAAGUCCCCCCUCGCCCA
This 84-nucleotide transfer RNA is filed under the name Intrasporangiaceae bacterium. RNAcentral describes it as "tRNA-Leu". It matches the Rfam family "tRNA". Rfam says of the family: Transfer RNA (tRNA) molecules are approximately 80 nucleotides in length. Their secondary structure includes four short double-helical elements and three loops (D, anti-codon, and T loops). RNAcentral also lists the same sequence under 3 other names. The record is from RNAcentral. Lineage: Bacteria; Bacillati; Actinomycetota; Actinomycetes; Micrococcales; Intrasporangiaceae.